Molecule: long non-coding RNA, 5377 nt
Filed under: Salmo salar (Atlantic salmon)
Lineage: Eukaryota; Metazoa; Chordata; Actinopteri; Salmoniformes; Salmonidae
Description: lncRNA (ENSSSAG00000106937.1, ENSSSAG00000119127.1)
Source: RNAcentral
UUAGUAGUUAGUUCUAGUAGUACCAGUCAGUUCUGGAGUGUUAGCCCUACCAGGAGCCCUCCUAUCAGCCUCGGUUGGCAUUGUGUUGGCAACAAGCCCUAAUUUAGGGAAUUAAAAAGCACUAGACAGGCCCUUUGUGCCACUGCGCGCCCGCUUUAAUCUUCCCAUGCCUCAGCGGGCACCCACAGCACGCGCACACACACACACACACACAAACACACACACACAGCGUCAGAAGUGGGCACGGUGCCCAUAUGACCCUGGGCAAUAUGGAAAUGUCCACCAAAACCACUAACCAAGCGCCCAGGCUGCCUCUGGUAGAGUCAGUACACAGUGGGAACACACUCUAAUACCAUCCCCCCACUGCACUGAAGCACAGAGAUACACACCACACCACACACACAACACGCAGAUGCUUGCACAUGCAAUUAAAUGUAUGCAUAGUUGUAUUCAUAGACAGAGCGAGAGAGACAGACACACACACACACACACAUUAUUUCACUGUCUUUCUCUAUCAAACACACACACACUUGUCAGAAGUUUGUGUUUCUCUUUGAAAUGUGGGUAAGUGUAACUGCAGUGUCGACGACAAGGCCAAUUUCUCAUGAGGUCAUCCAUCACCUCUAAUGAAACUGGCAGAGCCUAACUGUCUCGCUGUGUGUGUGUGUGUGUGUGUGUGUGUGUGUGUGUGUGUGUGUGUGUGUGUGUGUGUGUGUGUGUGUGUGUGUGUGUGUGUGUGUGUGUGUGUGUGUGUGUGUGUGUGUGUGUGUGUGUGUGUGUCUCUCUCUCUCUCCCUGGGCAGAUCCACUGGCGCCUCGCUAACCCAGGGAGGAGAAAUGGACUGAUUUAAUUACAGAUGAAACACACACACACAGGCUGGCUAUCACACAGACAGACAGAUUUCUUUUCACACAGACUCACACUCAAAGAGCACAGAUUUUAAACAAAGUUCAUAAACACACUCCUUUUUUCAAGCCAGUCUUGUUAGCAUGUUAGGAAACUACAAUGGGGAGCUGAGUGGGUGCUGCCUGGUGUGAUGUUGACGUGUUAAAGCUAAGCUACAAAGCCAAAUAUAACUUAAAGAGGCAAACAGCAGUUGCUACAUCUAUUUCUGGACUUAAUUAUACGUACCGAUAGAUUUUUGAAGAAUACAACGUAUAAAUGCGCUUCAUGAGCUUAGUUCAACUGUCGUACCACAUCAGAACCAAAAAUAUAAGCGUGUUUUACUUCAAUGUUUGCAAACAAUGUAAAUUGUAAACAAACACUAUAUAGCCUCAAAACAUGGUUAAAACUAUAAUGUUGAUAUCAUGGAGGGUCAGUCCUUGCAUCCAUAGCUUUAUCUGUUCAUUUGAUAGUGGUUGCAUUUCUCCAGUACCAUCCCUCAGCUUUUUACAGAAUCAGGAGCAUGCUUUGUUAUUGUUUCUACUGCUGAUUGCUGCUUUAAGUAGCUUCAUAACACUACAGCAUGAGAGUUACAGUUGAGGAUAAAUUGAUCAGCAUUUGUUAAAUCUGUAGUUAACAGUCCUCUUUGAUGGUGAUGGAGGUGAAUAUCUCUUUCAUUCUUGUUACGAAACCAAUAACUAGCCUGCUAAUAUUGUUGCACUCACUAAGUCCAGGGGUCUCAGGCCUAGUUAACUGGUCUGUAACCGGAUUGAAGCUUGUGCAUCUAUGUGAGAAAUCAGCGUAUGUUCCUAGGUGUUGAAGGUUCAAUAUGGACAGAGUGUGUCCUGGAUAGUGUGUUUGUCUAUGUCCUAGCACUAACCUUCCCCCCAUAUCAUAACAUUCUAAAGAAGGGCAAACCAGCUGAUGAUUGGCUCUUUCAUUCAGGCCAAUUUUUAUCUAGAAUUUAGAUGUACGGCUGUUGACCAAAACCUUGGCCACUAGGCUAGAAGCGGUACUCCCUUCACUCAUCAAUAUCGACCAGACGGGGCUUGUCAAGGGCAGAUACUCGUACCAUAAUAUAAGGAAACUUCUAAACAUUAUUCAACAUGCAAAUCUAUAUAGCCCAGAGGCCUUAGUGAUCUCACUUGAUGCAGAGAAGGCCUUUAACAGGGUCGAGUGGACCUAUCUGAUUAUGAUACUAGCAGAUAAGUUCAUCAAAUGGAUAGGGGUAUUUGACACCUGUCCUCCUGCUGCUGUUCUCACCAAAGGGAUCAGAUUUCACACUAGGACGUGGAACCAGGUAGGGUUGUCCAAUGACCGCUCUGUUAUUAGCUGUGGCAAUAAGGCUGGCGGAUGCUAUAGGUGGGAUCCGAUUGGGGACCAAAGGCAAUAACAUUUCUCCAUAUGCGGAUGAUGUUUCGCUGUAUUUGGGCUCGUGUAGAAAUUCUAUUCCAAAACUUGUGGACCUUAUUACCUCUUUAGGAGCUUCCUCUAGGUAUAAAGUGAAUUUCUCCAAGUCUGAGGCUAUGGCACGUGGUGACUCCCAGGCUGUUAAUUCAACAAUCUCCCAGCCUUUCCAAUGGCCUCCCUCUGCUUUUACUUACUUGACUAUUAAAAUCUGUCCUGUGCUAAAAGACAUGUAUAGAUUAACCCACUCCUUCUCUCUAUUCAAAAUGAUCUUGAUAGGUGGUGUUGCCUGCCUCUGUCAAGUUUAGGCCGCAUUCACCUUAUCAAAAUGAAUAUUCUCCCUCGCCUGCUAUACCGUUUUCAAAUGGUCCCACUUUUACUUCCCAGAAAAACCUUUACCCAGUUAGACCGUGCUAUAAUAUGUUUCAUCUGGCCAAGGAAAACACCUAGGCUGAGGUAUAGCUAUCUCACUCUACCUACCAGGUUAGCUGGUCUAGCAGUCCCUUCUCAUAAAUGUUAUCAACUGGCAUCUCAACUGAGCUUUAUUGAGAGUAUUGAAAACCCAAGAGCCUCUUGGCUUAAUUGUGAAUCAGCUACUAUUGGGACAAUCCCACUCCGUAAACUUUUAUACAUAUCCCAGACAAAGAUAGGCAAAUAGACUAAAGACAUUUCAUUAUAUGCUGAAGAACAUCUCUCAAUCUGGGGACAGGUCCGGAAGUUAGAAGGGCACAAUGUUUGUUUCUCAUUACUGACCCCUUUGAAUGAAACCUAAUGUGUCUCGUCUUUACAGUAAGUCUCAGGGUGCAGGGGGUUCCCUUAUUCAUUGUUUCUGGGAUCGUUGUUACAUAGAAACAUUGUGUUCGGAGGUUCUAUAGGAGAUAGAUAACGUUUUUGAGCGCUCUCUCCAGCUGGGUACAACGUUUUGUAGACUGGAAACUAGAGAGGAACUGCCUCUUAGAUUUCCUUAGUGCACAUUUUACACAUUUUAUUACAAAAAUGUAUUCUUCUGCUGUGGAUAUCUGAUAAGGCUUCCUCAGCAGCAUUGGAAAAUAAGCCUUAUCAAUUUCUUAAGAUGUGGGACCCCUUCUUGAACCAACACCGUCAAAACAAAGCCCAAGUGUUAAUUUCAGGACUGUCAGGCUUGGCCUGGCGCGAUUCAGCUACUUGAGGACAAAUCUACUUUAUGUAGGCGGUUUGUACUCAUACCUGACCUCUGUGAGGUAGCCUAGCUACCCUCCCUGCUGCUCUAGGCAGGUUCACAGUGUUAGCACACUAACUAGCCCAGCUGCCCUCCCUGCUGCUCUAGGCAGGUUCACAGUGUUAGCACACUAACUAGCCUAGCUGCCCCUCCCUGCUGCUCUAGGCAGGUUCACAGUGUUAGCACACUAACUAGCCUAGCUGCCCCUCCCUGCUGCUCUAGGCAGGUGCACAGUGUUAGCACACUAACUAGCCUAGCUGCCCCUCCCUGCUUCUCUAAGCAGGUUCACAGUGUUAGCACACUAACUAGCCUAGCUGCCCCUCCCUGCUGCUCUAGGCAGGUUCACAGUGUUAGCAUGUCUACUAGCCUAGCUGCCCUCCCUGCUUCUCUAAGCAGGUUCACAGUGUUAGCACACUAACUAGCCUAGCUGCCCCCAUAUGCUUCUCUAAGCAGGUUCACAGUGUUAGCACGCCUACUAGCCUAGCUGCCCCUCCCUGCUGCUCUAGGCAGGUUCACAGUGUUAGCACGCCUACUAGCCUAGCUGCCCCUCCCUGCUGCUCUAGGCAGGUUCAGUGUUAGCACACUAACUAGCCUAGCUGCCCCUCCCUGCUGCUCUAGGCAGGUUCACAGUGUUAGCACGCCUACUAGCCUAGCUGCCCCUCCCUGCUGCUCUAGGCAGGUUCACAGUGUUAGCACACUAACUAGCCUAGCUGCCCCUCCCUGCUGCUCUAGGCAGGUUCACAGUGUUAGCACGCCUACUAGCCUAGCUGCCCCUCCCUGCUGCUCUAGGCAGGUUCACAGUGUCCUUUCCUUAAAACAAAGACACACUUUGGCCCAGAAACCGGAUACACUCCCACUUUUCCUCCUUCUCUCUCUGCCUUUCUCCUUCUUUCAAUCUCCACCUCACACUUUCUUUCUCCCCUUCUCCCUCCUCACCCCGUCACUCUUUCCCCAUUUCUUUCUCUGCUUCUCUUUCUCCCUUCUCCUUCUCUGAACCCUCUCUUUCCUUCCCCCCUCUCCUUUUCCUUCUCUUUCUCAUUCUCUCCAUUUUUCUCUCCCCACUGGUUUCACUUAAUAAGCUUCAAAGGGUUUCUGGGCAACUUGGUUUCUUAAAAAAAGUAACCAUGGCAUUUAUUUGGCACACAACAUCUUCCCUCUUUCUGAGGAUAUGGGGGUUGCCAUGACAUCGGUGGGCACCUUAUAAAGCACACCAUUGUUGCUGUUUGUGUGUAUGUGUGUGUGUGUGUGUGUGUGUGUGUGUGUGUGUGUGUGUGUGUGUGUGUGUGUGUGUGUGUCAGGCAUCUUGUGCCAGCUUGGUCUAAACGCUCAGGCUCCUCAUAUGAAACGCAGAACGUUGCCUAUGCCAGGGAGGAGAGAAUACAAUUAUACCGGCCAACUCAUGCUUACCAGACUAGUCACACACAUUCUCUCUCCUUUACUCUCCCUCCCUCUGACACACACAACUGAAAGGUUACACAUACAGCGUUCACACUAAACUACGAUAAUUCUAUAAGAUAAAAUGUUGUGGUUAGGGGCAAUAUGUGUUAACAAGUAGUGUCAAAAAUAGUUCUCUCUCUCUCAGUGCCAACUCCUCCUUCGCUAACAAUGAUCUCCUGUAGCUCCCCCUUCCCCACACUACCCACUCCUUAGGCUCUCUUCAUCUAUGCCCAGAAUGCUUUACUCAGACACCACUGAACACAUGCACACACAAACCUCUGUCAGACACACACACACACACACAAACACACACCUCCAUCAGACACACACACACAAACACACACCUCCAUCAGACACACACACACAAACACACACCUCCAUCAGACACACACACACAAACACACACCUCCAUCAGACACACACAUACAAACACACACCUCCAUCAGACACACA